RNAcentral lists this ribosomal RNA (1205 nucleotides) under metagenome. Its description in RNAcentral is "bacterial SSU rRNA". It matches the Rfam family "Bacterial small subunit ribosomal RNA", at positions 323 to 1520 of the family's 1533-position model. The record is from RNAcentral.
GACACGGUCCAGACUCCUACGGGAGCAGCAGUGGGGAAUUUUGGACAAUGGGGGCAACCCUGAUCCAGCCAUGCCGCGUGAGUGAAGAAGGCCUUCGGGAUGUAAAGCUCUUUCGGCCGGGAAGAAAUCGCAUGGGCCAAUACCCUGUGUGGAUGACGGUACCGGAAUAAGAAGCACCGGCUAACUACGUGCCAGCAGCCGCGGUAAUACGUAGGGUGCGAGCGUUAAUCGGAAUUACUGGGCGUAAAGCGUGCGCAGGCGGUUUUGUAAGACAGGCGUGAAAUCCCCGGGCUCAACCUGGGAACUGCGUUUGUGACUGCAAGGCUAGAGUACGGCAGAGGGGGGUGGAAUUCCACGUGUAGCAGUGAAAUGCGUAGAGAUGUGGAGGAACACCAAUGGCGGAGGCAGCCCCCUGGGUCGAUACUGACGCUCAUGCACGAAAGCGUGGGUAGCAAACAGGAUUAGAUACCCUGGUAGUCCACGCCCUAAACUAUGUCAACUAGGUGUUGGGUGGGUAAAACCAUUUAGUACCGUAGCUAACGCGUGAAGUUGACCGCCUGGGGAGUACGGCCGCAAGGUUAAAACUCAAAGGAAUUGACGGGGACCCGCACAAGCGGUGGAUGAUGUGGAUUAAUUCGAUUCAACGCGAAAAACCUUACCUACCCUUGACAUGCCAGGAACUUGCCAGAGAUGGCUUGGUGCCCGAAAGGGAGCCUGGACACAGGUGCUGCAUGGCUGUCGUCAGCUCGUGUCGUGAGAUGUUGGGUUAAGUCCCGCAACGAGCGCAACCCUUGUCGUUAAUUGCCAUCAUUUAGUUGGGCACUUUAGCGAGACUGCCGGUGACAAACCGGAGGAAGGUGGGGAUGACGUCAAGUCCUCAUGGCCCUUAUGGGUAGGGCUUCACACGUCAUACAAUGGUCGGUACAAAGGGUCGCCAAGCCGCGAGGUGGAGCCAAUCCCAGAAAGCCGAUCGUAGUCCGGAUUGCAGGCUGCAACUCGCCUGCAUGAAGUCGGAAUCGCUAGUAAUCGUGGACCAGCAUGUCACGGUGAAUACGUUCCCGGGUCUUGUACACACCGCCCGUCACACCAUGGGAGCGGGUUCCGCCAGAAGUAGGUAGCCUAACCGCAAGGAGGGCGCUUACCACGGCGGGGUUCGUGACUGGGGUGAAGUCGUAACAAGGUAGCCGUAGGGGAACCUGCGGCUG